CUUCUCUUGAGAGCGGCGGACGGGUGAGUAAUGCCUAGGAAUCUGCCUGGUAGUGGGGGAUAACGCUCGGAAACGGACGCUAAUACCGCAUACGUCCUACGGGAGAAAGCAGGGGACCUUCGGGCCUUGCGCUAUCAGAUGAGCCUAGGUCGGAUUAGCUAGUUGGUGAGGUAAUGGCUCACCAAGGCGACGAUCCGUAACUGGUCUGAGAGGAUGAUCAGUCACACUGGAACUGAGACACGGUCCAGACUCCUACGGGAGGCAGCAGUGGGGAAUAUUGGACAAUGGGCGAAAGCCUGAUCCAGCCAUGCCGCGUGUGUGAAGAAGGUCUUCGGAUUGUAAAGCACUUUAAGUUGGGAGGAAGGGCAGUAAAUUAAUACUUUGCUGUUUUGACGUUACCGACAGAAUAAGCACCGGCUAACUCUGUGCCAGCAGCCGCGGUAAUACAGAGGGUGCAAGCGUUAAUCGGAAUUACUGGGCGUAAAGCGCGCGUAGGUGGUUUGUUAAGUUGGA
RNAcentral lists this ribosomal RNA (513 nucleotides) under Pseudomonas sp. RNAcentral's name for it is "bacterial SSU rRNA". It matches the Rfam family "Bacterial small subunit ribosomal RNA", at positions 83 to 592 of the family's 1533-position model. The record is from RNAcentral. Lineage: Bacteria; Pseudomonadati; Pseudomonadota; Gammaproteobacteria; Pseudomonadales; Pseudomonadaceae.